AUACGGAGGGUGCGAGCGUUAAUCGGAAUUACUGGGCGUAAAGCGUACGUAGGCGGUUGGUUAAGUUAGAUGUGAAAGCCCCGGGCUUAACCUGGGAACUGCAUUUAAAACUGACGAACUAGAGUUGAGUAGAGGGGAGUGGAAUUUCAGGUGUAGCGGUGAAAUGCGUAGAGAUCAGAAGGAACACCAGUGGCGAAGGCGACUCCCUGGACUCGAACUGACGCUGAGGUACGAAAGCGUGGGUAGCAAACGGGAUUAGAAACCCUAGUAGUCC
This 274-nucleotide ribosomal RNA is filed under the name uncultured bacterium. RNAcentral's name for it is "partial 16S ribosomal RNA". It matches the Rfam family "Bacterial small subunit ribosomal RNA", at positions 523 to 796 of the family's 1533-position model. The record is from RNAcentral.